AUGCAAGUCGAACGAGAUUUUUCGUUGUAGCAAUACGAUGGAAAGUCUAGUGGCGAACGGGUGCUUAACACGUGGGCAACCUGCCAGGAAGUGGGGGAUAGCUCGCCGAAAGGCGAAUUAAUACCGCAUGUGAUUAGAGAGGACAUCCUUUCGAAAUUAAAGUCGGGGCAACCUGACGCUUCUUGUGGGGCCCGCGGCCUAUCAGCUAGUUGGUGAGGUAACGGCCCACCAAGGCUUUGACGGGUAGCUGGUCUGAGAGGACGACCAGCCACACUGGGACUGAGACACGGCCCAGACACCUACGGGUGGCAGCAGUCGAGAAUUUUUGACAAUGGGGGAAACCCUGAUCGAGCGACGCCGCGUGGAGGAUGAAGGUCUUCGGAUUGUAAACUCCUGUCAUUGGGGAACAAUGCACAGAUAUUAACUGUAUUUGUGUUGAUAGUACCCGAAGAGGAAGAGACGGCUAACUCUGUGCCAGCAGCCGCGGUAAUACAGAGGUCUCAAGCGUUGUUCGGAUUCAUUGGGCGUAAAGGGUGCGUAGGCGGCGCGGUAAGUCGGGUGUGAAAUCUCGGGGCUUAACUCCGAAACUGCAUUCGAUACUGCCGUGCUUGAGGACUGGAGAGGAGACUGGAAUUUACGGUGUAGCGGUGAAAUGCGUAGAUAUCGUA
Molecule: ribosomal RNA, 668 nt
Filed under: uncultured soil bacterium
Lineage: Bacteria
Description: bacterial SSU rRNA
Rfam family: Bacterial small subunit ribosomal RNA
Source: RNAcentral